GAUGAACGCUGGCGGCGUGCCUAACACAUGUAAGUCGAACGUGAGAGACUAGCAAUAGUCUUGAAAGUGGCGAACGGGUGAGUAACACGUAGGAACCUGCCCUGGAGUGGGGGAUAACCACUGGAAACGGUGGCUAAUACCGCAUACGCCUGUGAAGAUGGGAGUCUUUGCAGGGAAAGAGCGAUUGCUCCAGGAGGGGUCUGCGUCCGAUUAGCUAGAUGGUGGGGUAAAGGCCUACCAUGGCGAUGAUCGGUAGCUGGUCUGAGAGGAUGAUCAGCCACACGGGAACUGAGACACGGUCCCGACUCCUACGGGGGGCAGCAGUGAGGAAUAUUGCACAAUGGGGGAAACCCUGAUGCAGCAACGCCGCGUGGAGGAUUGACGGUCUUUGGAUUGUAAACUCCUUUUCUGUGGGACGAGCGAGGACGGUACCACAGGAAUCAGUCACGGCUAACUACGUG
This 461-nucleotide ribosomal RNA is filed under the name uncultured organism. Its description in RNAcentral is "bacterial SSU rRNA". It matches the Rfam family "Bacterial small subunit ribosomal RNA", at positions 28 to 507 of the family's 1533-position model. The record is from RNAcentral.